UUCGGCGGCCAUAGCGAGAGGGAAACGCCCGGUCACAUUCCGAACCCGGAAGCUAAGACUCUCAGCGCCGAUGGUACUGCAAGGGGGACCUUGUGGGAGAGUAGGACACCGCCGGACUCCUUUUAG
Molecule: ribosomal RNA, 126 nt
Filed under: Frigoribacterium sp. PhB24
Lineage: Bacteria; Bacillati; Actinomycetota; Actinomycetes; Micrococcales; Microbacteriaceae
Source: RNAcentral